RNAcentral lists this non-coding RNA (31 nucleotides) under Rattus norvegicus (Norway rat). Lineage: Eukaryota; Metazoa; Chordata; Mammalia; Rodentia; Muridae. The record is from RNAcentral.
UAUGUACUUCAGUCUGCCAUGGGCUUACCCU